RNAcentral lists this transfer RNA (75 nucleotides) under bacterium. RNAcentral describes it as "tRNA-Gly". It matches the Rfam family "tRNA". Rfam says of the family: Transfer RNA (tRNA) molecules are approximately 80 nucleotides in length. Their secondary structure includes four short double-helical elements and three loops (D, anti-codon, and T loops). Further hydrogen bonds mediate the characteristic L-shaped molecular structure. tRNAs have two regions of fundamental functional importance: the anti-codon, which is responsible for specific mRNA codon recognition, and the 3' end, to which the tRNAs corresponding amino acid is attached (by aminoacyl-tRNA synthetases). tRNAs cope with the degeneracy of the genetic code in two manners: having more than one tRNA (with a specific anti-codon) for a particular amino acid; and 'wobble' base-pairing, i.e. permitting non-standard base-pairing at the 3rd anti-codon position. The record is from RNAcentral.
GCGGGCGUAAUUCAGCGGCAGAAUGCCAGCUUCCCAAGCUGGACGUCACGGGUUCGAUCCCCGUCGCCCGCUCCA